GACGAACGCUGGCGGCGUGCCUAAUACAUGCAAGUAGAACGCUCAAGAGAGGAGCUUGCUCUUCUUGUAUGAGUUGCGAACGGGUGAGUAACGCGUAGGUAACCUGCCUAUUAGCGGGGGAUAACUACUGGAAACGGUAGCUAAUACCGCAUAACAAUUUAUAACACAUGUCAUAUAUUUGAAAGGCGCUAUUGCUCCACUACAUGAUUGACUUGCGUCGUAUUAGCUAAUAUGUUAGGUAAUGGCUCUCCCAGGCGACGAUACAUAGACGACCUGAGAGGGUGAUCGGCCAAAAUGGGAAUGGGACAACGCCCAGGAUUCUAAGGGGGGGAGGCGGAGGGGAUCUUUGGCAAUGGGGGCAACCCUGAACGAGCAAAGCCGCGUGAGUGAAGAAGGGUUUCGGAUCGUAAAGAUCUGUUGUAAGGCAAGAAAGGGUGUGAGAGUGGAAAGUUCACACUGUGACGGUAGCUUAUCAGAAAGGGACGGCUAACUACGUG
This 497-nucleotide ribosomal RNA is filed under the name uncultured bacterium. RNAcentral's name for it is "partial 16S ribosomal RNA". It matches the Rfam family "Bacterial small subunit ribosomal RNA", at positions 28 to 507 of the family's 1533-position model. The record is from RNAcentral.